AUGCUUGUGUCAGUUUCGGGGUCACCUUGACAUGGUGGGGGUCGUUGGUUCGAGUCCAAUCGCGCCUACCA
This 71-nucleotide transfer RNA is filed under the name Pseudomonas sp. DP16D-R1. RNAcentral describes it as "tRNA-Val". The record is from RNAcentral. Lineage: Bacteria; Pseudomonadati; Pseudomonadota; Gammaproteobacteria; Pseudomonadales; Pseudomonadaceae.